UACGUAGGUGGCAAGCGUUAUCCGGAAUCACUGGGCGUAAAGCGUCCGCAGGUGGGAAAGCAAGUUACAUGUGAAAUACCGGUGCUCAACAUCGGAAUUGCAUGUAAAACUACUUUUCUAGAGGGUGGGAGAGGCGAGUGGAAUUCUCGGUGUAGGGGUAAAAUCCAUAGAUAUCGAGAGGAACACCAAAAGCGAAGGCAGCUCGCUGGAACAUUCCUGACACUCAUGGACGAAAGCGUGGGGAGCGAAAAGG
RNAcentral lists this ribosomal RNA (253 nucleotides) under uncultured bacterium. RNAcentral's name for it is "partial 16S ribosomal RNA". It matches the Rfam family "Bacterial small subunit ribosomal RNA", at positions 524 to 776 of the family's 1533-position model. The record is from RNAcentral.